UUGAUCUCAAAUCAGGUAGGACUACCCGCUGAACUUAAGCAUAUCAAUAAGCGAAGGAA
This 59-nucleotide ribosomal RNA is filed under the name uncultured fungus. RNAcentral's name for it is "partial 28S ribosomal RNA". It matches the Rfam family "Eukaryotic large subunit ribosomal RNA", at positions 1 to 58 of the family's 3401-position model. Lineage: Eukaryota; Fungi. The record is from RNAcentral.